Molecule: long non-coding RNA, 213 nt
Filed under: Mytilus galloprovincialis (Mediterranean mussel)
Lineage: Eukaryota; Metazoa; Mollusca; Bivalvia; Mytilida; Mytilidae
Source: RNAcentral
CAUGCCAAGAAAUUGCCUCCGUUGAAAUUCUGCAAAUAUCCCAUAGAGCAAAUUACAUGGAUGAUUAAUAUUGACCAUUUGGUAUAUGGUCGUGUUCUUAGCGAGACGUACAUAAAGGUCAUAAAUUAAUUUGUUGAAUGAAAUUAAAUCUGUAUCUACUAAUGGGUGCCGUAGGAGGUCCACCGGAAUUUUUAGCUAGGAUUUCUUGGCAUG